Molecule: ribosomal RNA, 253 nt
Filed under: uncultured bacterium
Lineage: Bacteria
Description: partial 16S ribosomal RNA
Rfam family: Bacterial small subunit ribosomal RNA
Source: RNAcentral
UACGAAGGGGGCGAGCGUUGUUCGGAAUUACUGGGCGUAAAGGGCGCGUAGGCGGCGAUCCGAGUCAGAUGUGAAAGUCCUGGGCUUAACCUGGGGACUGCAUUUGAUACUGGAUUGCUUGAAUUCGGGAGAGGAUAGCGGAAUUCCCAGUGUAGAGGUGAAAUUCGUAGAUAUUGGGAAGAACACCGGUGGCGAAGGCGGCUAUCUGGACCGACAUUGACGCUGAGGCGCGAAAGCGUAGGGAGCAAACAGG